This 443-nucleotide ribosomal RNA is filed under the name uncultured bacterium. RNAcentral describes it as "partial 16S ribosomal RNA". It matches the Rfam family "Bacterial small subunit ribosomal RNA", at positions 338 to 795 of the family's 1533-position model. The record is from RNAcentral.
CCUACGGGUGGCAGCAGUGGGGAAUAUUGGACAAUGGGGGGAACUCUGAUCCAGCGACGCCGCGUGAGUGAAGAAGUAUUUCGGUAUGUAAAGCUCUAUCAGCAGGGAUGAAAGAAAUGACGGUACCUGACUAAGAAGCCCCGGCUAACUACGUGCCAGCAGCCGCGGUAAUACGUAGGGGGCAAGCGUUAUCCGGAUUUACUGGGCGUAAAGGGAGCGUAGGUGGCGAAGUAAGUCUGCAGUGAAAGGCCGGGGCCCAACCCCGGGACUGCUUCGGAAACUGUAUGGCUGGAGUGCAGGAGGGGUAAGUGGAAUUCCUAGUGUAGCGGUGAAAUGCGUAGAUAUUAGGAGGAACACCAGUGGCGAAGGCGACUUACUGGACUGUAACUGACGUUGAGGCACGAAAGCGUGGGGAGCAAACAGGAUUAGAUACCCGUGUAGUC